ACUUAAGCAUAUCAAUAAGCGGAGGAAAAGAAACCAACUGGGAUUGCCUUAGUAACGGCGAGUGAAGCGGCAAUAGCUCAAAUUUGAAAGCUGGCCCCUUUGGGGUCCGCGUUGUAAUUUGUAGAGGAUGAUUCGGCGAGGGCUCCCGUCUAAGUCCCCUGGAACGGGGCGUCAUAGAGGGUGAGAAUCCCGUAUGUGAUGGGUUGCCUUAGCCAUGUGAAUCUCCUUCGACGAGUCGAGUUGUUUGGGAAUGCAGCUCUAAAUGGGAGGUAAAUUUCUUCUAAAGCUAAAUACCGGCCAGAGACCGAUAGCGCACAAGUAGAGUGAUCGAAAGAUGAAAAGCACUUUGGAAAGAGAGUUAAAAAGUACGUGAAAUUGUUGAAAGGGAAGCGCUUGCAGCCAGACUUGUCCGCAGUUGCUCAGCCGGUCUCCUGACCGGCGUACUCUUCUGCGGCCAGGCCAGCAUCAGUUCGGGCGGUCGGAUAAAGACCCCAGGAAUGUAGCUCCUCUCGGGGAGUGUUAUAGCCUGGGGUGGAAUGCGGCCAGCCUGGACUGAGGAUCUCGCUUCGGCUAGGAUGCUGGCGUAAUGGCUGUAAGCGGCCCGUCUUGAAACACGGACCAAGGAGUCUAACAUCUAUGCGAGUGUUUGGGUGUCAAACCCAUACGCGUAAUGAAAGUGAACGGAGGUGGGAACCCUCACGGGUGCACCAUCGACCGAUCCUGAUGUCUUCGGAUGGAUUUGAGUAAGAGCAUAGCUGUUGGGACCCGAAAGAUGGUGAACUAUGCCUGAAUAGGGUGAAGCCAGAGGAAACUCUGGUGGAGGCUCGCAGCGGUUCUGACGUGCAAAUCGAUCGUCAAAUUUGGGUAUAGGGGCGAAAGACUAAUC
RNAcentral lists this ribosomal RNA (886 nucleotides) under Dothiorella alpina. Its description in RNAcentral is "Dothiorella sp. EY-2020a partial large subunit ribosomal RNA". It matches the Rfam family "Eukaryotic large subunit ribosomal RNA", at positions 32 to 936 of the family's 3401-position model. The record is from RNAcentral. Lineage: Eukaryota; Fungi; Ascomycota; Dothideomycetes; Botryosphaeriales; Botryosphaeriaceae.